RNAcentral lists this unclassified non-coding RNA (362 nucleotides) under soil metagenome. RNAcentral's name for it is "partial contains 5.8S ribosomal RNA, internal transcribed spacer 2, and large subunit ribosomal RNA". The stretch from base 1 to 120 matches the Rfam family "5.8S ribosomal RNA", at positions 35 to 154 of the family's 154-position model. The record is from RNAcentral.
GAUGAAGAACGUAGCGAAUUGCGAUAAGUAAUGUGAAUUGCAGAAUUCAGUGAAUCAUCGAAUCUUUGAACGCACCUUGCGCUCCUUGGUAUUCCGAGGAGCAUGCCUGUUUGAGUGUCAUUAAUAUAUCAACCUUCUCUUUUUUGAGUUGUUUGGAUGUGGGGGUUUGCUGGCCUCUUAAAUGAUUCAGCUCCCCUGAAAUGCAUUAGCAGAACAACCUGUUCAUUGGCGUGAUAAUUAUCUAUGCUAUUGAAUGUGAGGGCAGUUCAGCUUUCUAACCGUCCUUGGACAAUUCAUCAUUAAUGUGACCUCAAAUCAGGUAGGACUACCCGCUGAACUUAAGCAUAUCAAUAAGCGGAGGA